GCGCAGCAGGCGAGAAACCUUCGCAAUGCGGGAAACCGCGACGAGGGGACUCCCAGUGCCUACGCUCAGCGUAGGCUGUUCCCGAGCCUAGAAAGCUCGGGGAGUAAGGGCUGGGUAAGACGGGUGCCAGCCGCCGCGGUAAUACCCGCAGCCCGAGUGGUGGCCACUAUUAUUGGGCCUAAAGCGUCCGUAGCCGGCCCGGUAAAUGCCUGGGUAAAUCGUGAGGCCUAACCUCACGAAUUCCGGGUAGACUGCCGGGCUAGGGACCGGAGGAGGGAGAGGGUACUCCAGGGGUAGGGGUGAAAUCCUGUAAUCCCUGGAGGACCACCGGUGGCGAAGGCGCUCUCCUAGGACGGGUCCGACGGUGAGGGACGAAAGCCAGGGGAGCGCACCGGAUUAGAUACCCCUGUAGU
RNAcentral lists this ribosomal RNA (413 nucleotides) under uncultured microorganism. RNAcentral describes it as "bacterial SSU rRNA". It matches the Rfam family "Archaeal small subunit ribosomal RNA", at positions 330 to 745 of the family's 1478-position model. The record is from RNAcentral.